GACGAACGCUGGCGGCGUGCCUAAUACAUGCAAGUCGAACGCUUCUUUCCUCCCGAGUGCUUGCCCUCAAUUGGAAAGAGGAGUGGCGGACGGGUGAGUAACACGUGGGUAACCUACCCAUCAGAGGGGGAUAACACUUGGAAACAGGUGCUAAUACCGCAUAACAGUUUAUGCCGCAUGGCAUAAGAGUGAAAGGCGCUUUCGGGUGUCGUUGAUGGAUGGACCCGCGGUGCAUUAGCUAGUUGGUGAGGUAACGGCUCACCAAGGCCACGAUGCAUAGCCGACCUGAGAGGGUGAUCGGCCACACUGAGACUGAGACACGGCCCAGACUCCUACGGGAGGCAGCAGUAGGGAAUCUUCGGCAAUGGACGAAAGUCUGACCGAGCAACGCCGCGUGAGUGAAGAAGGUUUUCGGAUCGUAAAACUCUGUUGUUAGAGAAGAACAAGGACGUUAGUAACUGAACGUCCCCUGACGGUAUCUAACCAGAAAGCCACGGCUAACUACGU
This 507-nucleotide ribosomal RNA is filed under the name uncultured bacterium. RNAcentral's name for it is "partial 16S ribosomal RNA". It matches the Rfam family "Bacterial small subunit ribosomal RNA", at positions 28 to 506 of the family's 1533-position model. The record is from RNAcentral.